AACGAACGCUGGCGGCAUGCCUAACACAUGCAAGUCGAACGAGACCUUCGGGUGUAGUGGCGCACGGGUGCGUCACGCGUCGGAACCUUCCCUUAUGUUCGGAAUACCUCUCCGAAAGGGGUGCUAAUACCGGAUAAUUUCUUCUAACCAAAGAUAUAUCGCCUUUGUAUGGGCGCGCGUUGGAUUAGCUAUUUGGUAGUGUAAAAGCCUACCAAGGGUACGAUCCAUAGCUGGUCUGAGAGGAUGGUCAGCCACACUGGGGCUGGGACACGGCGGGGACUCUUGCGGAAGGCAGCAAUGGGGAAUAUUGGACGACGGGGGAGAGCAUGAUGCAUCAAGGCCGCGAAAGUGAUGUAGUCGUGAAGGAUGUAAAGCAGUUUUACCUGGGAUGAUAAUGACGGUACCGAGAGAAUAAGCUCCGGCUAACUCCGUG
RNAcentral lists this ribosomal RNA (433 nucleotides) under uncultured bacterium. Its description in RNAcentral is "partial 16S ribosomal RNA". It matches the Rfam family "Bacterial small subunit ribosomal RNA", at positions 29 to 507 of the family's 1533-position model. The record is from RNAcentral.